GAUGAACGCUGGCGGCGUGCCUAAUACAUGCAAGUCGAGCGAACAGAUGAGGAGCUUGCUCCUCUGACGUUAGCGGCGGACGGGUGAGUAACACGUGGAUAACCUACCUAUAAGACUGGGAUAACUUCGGGAAACCGGAGCUAAUACCGGAUAAUAUAUUGAACCGCAUGGUUCAAUAGUGAAAGACGGUUUUGCUGUCACUUAUAGAUGGAUCCGCGCCGCAUUAGCUAGUUGGUAAGGUAACGGCUUACCAAGGCAACGAUGCGUAGCCGACCUGAGAGGGUGUUCGGCCACACUGGAACUGAGAGACGGUCCAGACUCCUACGGGAGGCAGCAGUAGGGAAUCUUCCGCAAUGGGCGAAAGCCUGACGGAGCAACGCCGCGUGAGUGAUGAAGGUCUUCGGAUCGUAAAACUCUGUUAUUAGGGAAGAACAAAUGUGUAAGUAACUAUGCACGUCUUGACGGUACCUAAUCAGAAAGCCACGGCUAACUACGUG
RNAcentral lists this ribosomal RNA (497 nucleotides) under uncultured bacterium. RNAcentral describes it as "partial 16S ribosomal RNA". It matches the Rfam family "Bacterial small subunit ribosomal RNA", at positions 28 to 507 of the family's 1533-position model. The record is from RNAcentral.